GAAGCACCUCAUAAUUUAAACAAUUAAACAUCAAUGUGUCCUCUGGCAACAAGAAAAGUGUGAGGCCAAACAUGACAUGUACAACCGGAGAUGUGAAUGAAGAAAACAGCGAUAAAGGCAGUAUAUGGUUCACAGAUUCACAUAAAAAUGCAACCUCAACUAAAAACGGCAAGGCAAUGCAGUUACUAACGAAAGAUAACGGUGUAAAUAGAUAAUAAACAUCGCGCUCGCUUACUUAAAAAGGUUUGACAGCACACGAGAAUGCACCGAGCACAGACAUUGCAUUAAGGUUGUAUGCACUUUACCUGAAUACAUGCCCUACCCCUCGAGAUCAGGGGAAGACGAGAACUGGGAUUUUGACACCCCAUGUCUGCAAAAGGGAAC
This 384-nucleotide long non-coding RNA is filed under the name Musa acuminata (dwarf banana). Its description in RNAcentral is "long non-coding RNA (MACU_LNC002218)". The record is from RNAcentral. Lineage: Eukaryota; Viridiplantae; Streptophyta; Magnoliopsida; Zingiberales; Musaceae.